CAGGCCUAACACAUGCAAGUCGAGCGCGAAUGGAGCAAUCCUAGUAGAGCGGCGCACGGGUGCGUAACACGUGGAUAAUCUGCCUGGGUGUCUGGGAUAACCAGUCGAAAGACUGGCUGAUACCGGAUGAGCCCCCGGGAACUUCGGUUCUUGAGGGAAAAGGUGGCCUCUGUAUACAAGCUAUCACAUCCAGAUGAGUCCGCGGCCCAUCAGCUAGUUGGCGGGGUAAUGGCCCACCAAGGCGACGACGGGUAGCUGGUCUGAGAGGACGAUCAGCCACACUGGAACUGAGACACGGUCCAGACUCCUACGGGAGGCAGCAGUGGGGAAUUUUGCGCAAUGGGCGAAAGCCUGACGCAGCAACGCCGCGUGUGUGAUGAAGGUCUUUGGAUUGUAAAGCACUUUCGACCGGGACGAAAACCCCUGGGCUAAUACUCCAGGGCUUGACGGUACCGGGAGAAGAAGCACCGGCUAACUCUGUGCCAGCAGCCGCGGUAA
This 498-nucleotide ribosomal RNA is filed under the name uncultured bacterium. RNAcentral's name for it is "bacterial SSU rRNA". It matches the Rfam family "Bacterial small subunit ribosomal RNA", at positions 43 to 523 of the family's 1533-position model. The record is from RNAcentral.